RNAcentral lists this unclassified non-coding RNA (244 nucleotides) under uncultured fungus. RNAcentral's name for it is "partial contains 5.8S ribosomal RNA, internal transcribed spacer 2, and large subunit ribosomal RNA". The stretch from base 1 to 52 matches the Rfam family "5.8S ribosomal RNA", at positions 103 to 154 of the family's 154-position model. Lineage: Eukaryota; Fungi. The record is from RNAcentral.
AACGCACAUUGCGCCCUCUGGUAUUCCGGGGGGCAUGCCUGUUCGAGCGUCAUUACAACCCUCAAGCUCUGCUUGGUAUUGGGCCUCACCGGUUCUGGUGGGCCUUAAAAUCAGUGGCGGUGCCAUUCGGCUUCAAGCGUAGUAAUUCUUCUCGCUUCUGGAGUUCCGGGUGUGUGCUUGCCAUCAACCCCCAAUUAUAUCAAAGGUUGACCUCGGAUCAGGUAGGGAUACCCGCUGAACUUAA